CGGAGGGGCUAGCGUUGUUCGGAAUUACUGGGGCGUAAAAGCGCGCGUAGGCGGCUUUGUAAGUUAGAGGUGAAAGCCCGGAGCUCAACUCCGGAAUUGCCUUUAAGACUGCAUCGCUAGAAUCAUGGAGAGGUGAGUGGAAUUCCGAGUGUAGAGGUGAAAUUCGUAGAUAUUCGGAAGAACACCAGUGGCGAAGGCGACUCACUGGACAUGUAUUGACGCUGAGGUGCGAAAGCGUGGGGGAGCAAACAGGAUU
RNAcentral lists this ribosomal RNA (256 nucleotides) under uncultured bacterium. RNAcentral describes it as "partial 16S ribosomal RNA". It matches the Rfam family "Bacterial small subunit ribosomal RNA", at positions 527 to 779 of the family's 1533-position model. The record is from RNAcentral.